UACGUAGGUGGCAAGCGUUGUCCGGAUUUACUGGGCGUAAAGAGCGCGCAGGCGGCCGAGUAAGUCGAAUGUGAAAUCCCCCGGCUUAACUGGGGAAUGUCAUUCGAUACUGUUCGGCUUGAAGAUAGGAGAGGGAAGCGGAAUUUCAGGUGUAGUGGUGAAAUGCGUAGAUAUCUGAAGGAACACCAGUGGCGAAGGCGGCUUUCUGGCCUAUUCUUGACGCUGAGGCGCGAAAGCUAGGGGAGCGAACGGG
RNAcentral lists this ribosomal RNA (253 nucleotides) under uncultured bacterium. RNAcentral's name for it is "partial 16S ribosomal RNA". It matches the Rfam family "Bacterial small subunit ribosomal RNA", at positions 524 to 776 of the family's 1533-position model. The record is from RNAcentral.